GAUGAACGCUGACAGAAUGCUUAACACAUGCAAGUCAACUUGAACUUCGGUUUGGGUGGCGGACGGGUGAGUCACGCGUAAAGAACUUGCCUCACAGUUAGGGACAACAUUUGGAAACGAAUGCUAAUACCUGAUAUUAUGAUUUUAGGGCAUCCUAGAAUUAUGAAAGCUAUAUGCGCUGUGAGAGAGCUUUGCGUCCCAUUAGCUAGUUGGAGAGGUAACGGCUCACCAAGGCGAUGAUGGGUAGCCGGCCUGAGAGGGUGAACGGCCACAAGGGGACUGAGACACGGCCCGUACUCCUACGGGAGGCAGCAGUGGGGAAUAUUGGACAAUGGACCAAGAGUCUGAUCCAGCAAUUCUGUGUGCACGAUGAAGUUUUUCGGAAUGUAAAGUGCUUUCAGUUGGGAAGAAAAAAAUGACGAUACCAACAGAAGAAGUGACGGCUAAAUACGUG
Molecule: ribosomal RNA, 454 nt
Filed under: uncultured bacterium
Lineage: Bacteria
Description: partial 16S ribosomal RNA
Rfam family: Bacterial small subunit ribosomal RNA
Source: RNAcentral